GGGCGUGUGGCGUAGUGGUAUCGCGUUUGCUUCGCAUCAACAUUGGAAUUUCCAAUGGCGUCUGUAAAAGGUCACCGGUUCGAUCCCGGUCACGUCCA
RNAcentral lists this transfer RNA (98 nucleotides) under Scedosporium apiospermum. It matches the Rfam family "tRNA". Rfam says of the family: Transfer RNA (tRNA) molecules are approximately 80 nucleotides in length. Lineage: Eukaryota; Fungi; Ascomycota; Sordariomycetes; Microascales; Microascaceae. The record is from Rfam by way of RNAcentral.